AGGGUCCAGGGUUCAAGUCCCUGUUCGGG
Molecule: non-coding RNA, 29 nt
Filed under: Drosophila melanogaster (fruit fly)
Lineage: Eukaryota; Metazoa; Arthropoda; Insecta; Diptera; Drosophilidae
Also listed under: 8 other names
Source: RNAcentral